This is a long non-coding RNA of Pseudophryne corroboree (corroboree frog), 1572 nucleotides long. RefSeq lists it as uncharacterized. Lineage: Eukaryota; Metazoa; Chordata; Amphibia; Anura; Myobatrachidae. The record is from RefSeq and is a predicted model, not a curated record. The transcript has 3 exons.
AAUAUCUGGCACUGGGGACAUAUGUGGCACUGGGAGCACAGCCCUAGCAACAAGGACUACCUCCUAGCAACGAGCAUGACACCCAGUGCAUGAAACACCUGACAACGAGCAUGACACCCAGUGCAUGAAACACCUGGCAACGAGCAUGACACCCAGUGCAUGAAACCCCUGACAACGAGAAGCCUGUGUAUAUUGGUUACCAUGGUGAUGGUUUUCACUCCCCACGCCCCUGCAACGGAUCCUGGGCGCCGGCGGCUGCCAAUGACGUCAUGUGGACUCCGGAGCGGGCGGCUGCGGCGGUUUCCCUGUGCACGUGAUUCUUUUCGUGUUCUUUUCCUUCUGCUGCUCCCCACCAGUGCCUGGAUGGCCAGAGACCUCAACAUGCGUAUGCAUGAACUCACACAGGCCACCAUGGGACCAAAUAUAGGCCAUUCGGGACCAAACGCAUUUAUUGCCCUACAGAGGGAGAUGGUGGACCAAAUAGGUCUUAGGGAAGAACCAGCGACCUCGACAGUCAACUCCCAAGCUACCAGUCCACAAGCUGUGUCACCGGUGACUCCCCCAAGGCAUAGUGUCCAUACACCGGUGGGGUACUUCUACCUCAAAAUAAUUUUUUUUGUUUUCUGUUUGUUAAUGUUUGUGGUUUUUUUUCCCUUUAGUAAAGUGUUCUAAAAAAAAUGAUGUGUAUGUUUUAUAAAGUAAGUUACAAUGUUAGUGUAAAUUGGUAUUUUAUUUUUUGGGAAAGUGUUUUUUUAUUGUAGAUGUAGGUACACUGGGGGUAUAGUACAUUAAUGUAAAUGGGUUUCUUAACACUUACAUGUUGGUACAUUGUUUAGGGGGUACAUUUUAGGUAAUGGGCUUUUUACACUUACAUAUACACUGUUUUACAGGUGCACUAUUUUUAUGGGUUAAAUUAUUGUAAAUGGGUUUUUAAAGUUAGAUCUAUCUUUAUAAGUGUUUAUUUAUAGAAAAUGUGCUUUUACGGUGUAUUUUUAAUUGUUUUUCCAAAGUGGCACAUACAACUUACCUAUGUAAACUACCUGUAUUUUUGUUUUUUGUUUAGAAUUUUUGGUCAUGUUUUAUGUGCGAGUUUUAAAACCGGUACCCUAUUACAUUGGGCGAGUUGUAUAUAAAAAUUGGGAAACAUAUGGAUGUGCGAUUGAACGGUGUGAAUUACAGGAGUCCGAGAAACAUGCGAGUUUGCAUGUUCUCUGAACUAUUACGUUGUAAGUUUGUGCGAGUUUAGCGGAAAAUUUGCACUUUUCCUAAACUCUGACCCUAUUACAUUUGGCCCUAUAUAACAUCUUAAUUGCAACUUAUUUUAUUCAAAAACAUUAUGAAUUAAACAACAAAAUCAAGCAAUCAGUUAAUUAAUUAAUUAAUUAAUCAAGUCCAUUUUUCAAAAAUAAUUCUCCAUGUAAUGAAAUUGCAAAUCCUUGUAUGACAUGCUAAUGUAAAAGUUCACAACGUAUGUCUUGAUCCUCUGAGGCCCCCUGAUUGUCAGAUGAUUGUAAAUAUAUUCUAUUGUUAACUGCCUCUUUGAGGUUCUAUAACAAUACCUCACUAACGCUU